Molecule: ribosomal RNA, 421 nt
Filed under: uncultured bacterium
Lineage: Bacteria
Description: bacterial SSU rRNA
Rfam family: Bacterial small subunit ribosomal RNA
Source: RNAcentral
UGAGGAAUAUUGGCCAAUGGGCGCAAGCCUGAACCAGCCAUGCCGCGUGCAGGAUGAAGCAUCUAUGGUGUGUAAACUGCUUUUGUACGGGAAGAAACCACCCCUCGUGAGGGGUAUUGACGGUACCGUAUGAAUAAGCAUCGGCUAACUCCGUGCCAGCAGCCGCGGUAAUACGGAGGAUGCAAGCGUUAUCCGGAUUCAUUGGGUUUAAAGGGUGCGUAGGCGGCUUUUUAAGUCAGUGGUGAAAUCCUGCCGCUUAACGGUAGAAUUGCCAUUGAUACUGAAAAGCUUGAGUACAAUUGAGGUAAGCGGAGUGUGUAGUGUAGCGGUGAAAUGCUUAGAUAUUACAUGGAAUACCAAUUGCGAAGGCAGGUUACUACUUGUGGAUUGACGCUGAUGGACGAAAGCGUGGGGAGCGAAC